GACGAACGCUGGCGGCGUGCUUAACACAUGCAAGUCGAACGGAAAGGCCCCCACUUUUUUGGUGGGGGUGCUCGAGUGGCGAACGGGUGAGUAACACGUGGGUGAUCUGCCCUGUACUUCGGGAUAAGCUUGGGAAACUGGGUCUAAUACCGGAUAGGACCAUGGUUUAGUGUCUCAUGGUGGAAAAAUUAUUGUUUUGGUGCAGGAUGAGCUCGCGGCCUGUCAGCUUGUUGGUGGGGUAAUGGCCUACCAAGGCGUCGACGGGUAGCCGGCCUGAGAGGGUGGACGGCCACAUUGGGACUGAGAUACGGCCCAGACUCCUACGGGAGGCAGCAGUGGGGAAUAUUGCACAAUGGGCGCAAGCCUGAUGCAGCGACGCCGCGUGGGGGAUGACGGCCUUCGGGUUGUAAACUCCUUUCGUUAGGGACGAAGCCGCACCUUUUUUGGGUGUGGUGACGGUACCUUUGUUAAGAAGCACCGGCUAACUACGUG
Molecule: ribosomal RNA, 492 nt
Filed under: uncultured bacterium
Lineage: Bacteria
Description: partial 16S ribosomal RNA
Rfam family: Bacterial small subunit ribosomal RNA
Source: RNAcentral